RNAcentral lists this ribosomal RNA (220 nucleotides) under uncultured bacterium. RNAcentral describes it as "partial 16S ribosomal RNA". It matches the Rfam family "Bacterial small subunit ribosomal RNA", at positions 111 to 334 of the family's 1533-position model. The record is from RNAcentral.
UAAUGUAUGGGGAUCUGCCCGAUAGAGGGGGAUAACUACUGGAAACGGUGGCUAAUACCGCAUAAUGUCUACGGACCAAAGCAGGGGCUCUUCGGACCUUGCACUAUCGGAUGAACCCAUAUGGGAUUAGCUAGUAGGUGGGGUAAAGGCUCACCUAGGCGACGAUCUCUAGCUGGUCUGAGAGGAUGAUCUGCCACACUGGGACUGAGACACGGCCCAG